Molecule: ribosomal RNA, 254 nt
Filed under: uncultured bacterium
Lineage: Bacteria
Description: partial 16S ribosomal RNA
Rfam family: Bacterial small subunit ribosomal RNA
Source: RNAcentral
UACAGAGGGUGCAAGCGUUGCUCGGAAUUAUUGGGCGUAAAGAGCUCGUAGGCGGUGUGUCACGUCGGCCGUGAAAACCUGCAGCUUAACUGUGGGCGUGCGGUCGAUACGGGCAUCACUGGAGUUCGGCAGGGGAGACUGGAAUUCCUGGUGUAGCGGUGAAAUGCGCAGAUAUCAGGAGGAACACCGGUGGCGAAGGCGGCUCACUGGCCCGGUACUGACGCUGAGGUGCGAAAGCGUGGGGAGCAAACAGG